RNAcentral lists this unclassified non-coding RNA (357 nucleotides) under soil metagenome. RNAcentral's name for it is "partial contains 5.8S ribosomal RNA, internal transcribed spacer 2, and large subunit ribosomal RNA". The stretch from base 1 to 120 matches the Rfam family "5.8S ribosomal RNA", at positions 35 to 154 of the family's 154-position model. The record is from RNAcentral.
GAUGAAGAACGCAGCGAAAUGCGAUAAGUAGUGUGAAUUGCAGAAUUCAGUGAAUCAUCGAAUCUUUGAACGCACAUUGCGCCCGUCAGUAUUCUGGCGGGCAUGCCUGUUCGAGCGUCAUUACGCCCCUCAAGUCCCCUGUGGACUUGGUGUUGGGGAUCGGCGAGGCUGGUUUUCCAGCACAGCCGUCCCUUAAAUUAAUUGGCGGUCUCGCCGUGGCCCUCCUCUGCGCAGUAGUAAAACACUCGCAACAGGAGCCCGGCGCGGUCCACUGCCGUAAAACCCCCCAACUUUUUAUAGUUGACCUCGAAUCAGGUAGGACUACCCGCUGAACUUAAGCAUAUCAAUAAGCGGAGG